RNAcentral lists this long non-coding RNA (4470 nucleotides) under Glycine max (soybean). Its description in RNAcentral is "long non-coding RNA (GMAX_LNC004415)". The record is from RNAcentral. Lineage: Eukaryota; Viridiplantae; Streptophyta; Magnoliopsida; Fabales; Fabaceae.
UUUCAUUUAUAAUGUAUUAUUUCUUUCUUUCACAUUUUGAGAAAGUAUUAAGUGCGAGAUAAAAAAAAUGGUUUGUUUCGAUUUUCAUUCUUGUAGUUGAAGUGCAUCUGCAAGGUAAAUAGUUUAAGUUAUGUUUACAUUUUCUUGAAUAAUAGUUGGUGCUAAAAAUCAGAAUGUUCUUCAACUAAUUGUGAUGGUUGUCUGAAAUAAAAUGACCUUCCUAUGUCAAUGGCUUGCCGGGUUGCCUUUUUUGUCAAUUGUUAUCAUGCGAUUGAUUUUAUUUGUGAGCAUGAGCAGCCCGUAAAUUGGAAAGACUGCUGAGCUGUUGGGACUAAAAGCUUGAAAAGUUUUGCGCUUUCUCAUCUUUCUCUGAACUCCUGAAUUGUGUGCUGUCAUAUGUUUUUACAGAACAGAAAUAUUGUUGUGUUACUUAGCUUGCUGACUUGAAUGUUUUUUGUUUGUGAAAAUGAUAUUCUGCAUUGUGUUCAUGAAACUGCUGCUUGUUUUUAGGUACCAACACAUGGGACAGAUUUGAACUUAGGGUGCACAAGAGAGUGAUUGACCUCUACAGUUCCCCAGAUGUGGUUAAGCAGAUUACCUCUAUCACGAUCGAACCUGGUGUGGAGGUUGAGGUGACCAUUGCAGAUGCUUGAUCUUGAUCCAAAUUUUAACUGUUAUGUUUCUUAGUUUUUUUUUCCUCCGCUUAUUCUGUAUUUUACAAGUUUUGAUUGUGGGACCGAGUUGAAUUGUUUUCUUUAGUUUUAUGGUUGUAGACGGUUGAUUUAUACCUGAGAAAUGUUAUCUUAAUAUAUUCAAGAAUCUUACAUAUAUUUGUUUUGAAAUUAUUACAAAUCAUUUGGUAUGGACUCAGCUAAGAUUAUAUCUUUUUCCUUUUAUCAUGGUCCGCAAAUUUUUAAACCUGAUACUAAUGGUGAACCAGGCACGUUGGAAAAGUAUUAUUUUUUUUGCAAUUUUCAAUGCACAACUCCUAAUUCUAAUGUAUAAAAUAAUGAGGGAGGAAACUGUGGCUUUUGGGAUAAAAGUACUUUUGAAUUUUCGUAACUGAAAUUUAAACAUGCUCAUAUUCUUCCAAUUAUAAUGUAAAUAAAUAAAAACAAGAUGCAAAAAUGUGUUACGUUCGAUUUAUGGCUUCUUUGUCUUGGGUGAAUUUCAUUGAGAAAAAGCUUGGCACGAGCCAAUUUUUUUCGAAAGGAGGAAUUUAUCCUUGUCCAAUCCUAGUUUGGAAGCUGCCACCAAUAUUAAAGUAUUUAGUACAUUUCCGGUUUUUGGUGAUAUGAUCCAUUUUUGGAGUGAUUAAUUUUCCGGAUUAUAGAAGUAAAAAAGAAAGUGGGGUGGAAGGGGAGAAUGCAGUGCAUAACUUCACAAAAGUAUAUUAGAGAAAAUAGAGGCUUAUAAUGUAAAAUAGUUGUUUACUAUUUAAUGAGUUGUUUUAGAUGAAUGAACAAUCUUGGGGCAAGAAUUUUAGUUUUAUUGAUGUUGUCAUCCAAAAGGUAAUUUGAGGUUUUCCUAUCGCAAUCACAACAAAAAUGAGUUGUUUACUAUUUGAGGUUUUCCUAUUCGAAAUGUUUUUGUGUUGUUCAAUUCAAAUUAUACAAACAGAAAAGCGAGUAAAAAAAAACUUCUGUAGCACUUCUAAACAUAGAGAAACAAUACAUAAACAGUGAAGAAAAUUUGUAAAGAAGGAAAAUUAUUUAUGAUUGGUUGAGCGUACAAUUUUGUUUACAUUUAUAUCGUACUCCCUCAAUUAUUUUGUGUUCGGUUGAAAGAACAAAAAUAAAAAUAAAAAAGUUGAAUUAGAGCAUAAGUGUGAGCCUUACAAUUUUUUCUCUAUUUUUUCUCUUCUUCUCUCAACCAAACACAAUGAGCAUUAUCUAGCAAACGAGUUCAUCUCCUCAACAGUAAAAUUGAGUUGUUUUUUGGUAUAAUAAAUUAUUUAUUAAUUUAUAAAAGCAAAUAAUAUAUCAUAUUAUAUCAAGUUUGAUCUUAAUUUAAAUUUUAUUUUAUCGUAUUAUAUAUAUUUAGUCAUAUUUGAUAAAAGCAAGUAGGAACAUUAUUCAUUUAUUUAUUGAAGUCAGUUCGGUUCGGUCUAAGGUUAAUUUUCACUAGUUCAAAUAAUAUAUCAUAUUAUAUCAAGUUUGAUCUUAAUUUAAAUUUUAUUUUACCGUAUUAUAUAUAUUUAGUCAUAUUUGAUACAAGAAAGUAGGGACAUUAUUCAUUUAUUUAUUGAACUCAGUUCGGUUCGGUCUAAGAUUAAUUUUCAGUAGUUCAAAUUUUAGAAAUUAGACUUGACCUAUUUUGAGGAUGAGUUUAGAUAUGCUCUAUUAUUGCAAAAAGUUUUUUUUUUUCAAUGAAUAUGUAAUAUUAAUAAUAUUUUUAUAAUAUGAUAUUAUAUUUAUAAUAAUAUUAUUUAUUUUAAAAUAUAUACUAUAAAAUACUAUAUCUUAGUUUAAUUUUUAUACCUUUUCUGUUUUACAAUUUAACUAUACCUAACUUUUUUUUGGUAAAUAACUAUAUUCAAUGUUAAGAUUAAUAAAAUAUAAAUUAUAAAUAAGUUGAAUUGUUUAUCAACAAUUCGUUGGUAUAAAUAAAAUUAAGUUCAAUCUUUUUAAGUAAAAUUUUAUGUUCAAGUUUAAUAGAUAAAAAAAACUUAAAAGUGACCAACAAGAUUUUAACGAAAAACAAUUUGGUUUGGAAUAAAUAAAGUGUUCCAAUGACUCGAUGUUAACCCUAAUUUGUACGGUCCAAUAAAAUUUGCAUCGGUGGUAACUGGGGCAAGUAAGGAAAUAGUAUAAUUCAUAGUGGGUGAUUUGCAAAACUUCAUUGUUUUGCCCUAAAAACCCUCUAGGUUUUCUAUUCCAUUGUACGCCAAAGCCCUCUCUUAUUUCCAGACGCGGCGGCUUCUUCUUCCGUUUUUGUCUAUCGGCGUGAACAAUGGCGACUUACGCUGCGAUGAAGCCCACAAAGCCCGGCUUGGAGGAGCCCCAGGAGCAGAUCCACAAGAUAAGGAUCACCCUUUCCUCCAAGCACGUCAAAAACCUCGAGAAGGGUAUGCCCCAAUUGAUUCUAGUUUUUGUUUUUAAGGUUGUCGCUCUCCUUAGGCUUAUGUUUCGGUUUUUAUGUUACUUUUAGUUUGUGCGGACUUGGUUCGCGGUGCAAAGGACAAGCGCCUCAGGGUUAAGGGACCUGUCAGGAUGCCCACUAAGGUUCUUCUCAUCACUACCAGGAAGUCCCCUUGUGGUGAAGGUAUUUACAUUCUUUCCUCACUUUUUAUUAUUAUGGUUGCUGUUUGGUUCACUUGUUCCUUUUAUUCUUUGCUUCUUAUAUUGCUCUUUUGAUUGAUGUUCGUUUUGCAAUUGGGUUUGCCUCAAUGUUCUUCUAUCUUGCUAUGUUAUGUGUUGUAGUUUUGAACAUGGAUGCCCUUUGUAUAAAGAGUAGUUUUGCAAUAUAUCUCUUACUUUUUAAGGUCUGGAAUGUGCUAAAUGGAAAAUUUGGAUGGAGGAUUUUGAAGGAAAAAGGAAGAUUAAGUUAGUUAUAUCAUGUUUAUAAAUACGAAUAAGGGAUGAACGGGAGGUUUUGUUUUGUCGGUAAUCUAUUUCUUUGGAGGCUUGGGACUCUGACUGCGUGUCUGUUGAAGAGGGGAAGAAUGAGACUGCAACUCAUAGGCUGUGGCUUGGUUAAGGGAAACCACCGGAGCUGUAGUGAAAGUGAGUCUUCACAGGGCAAUUGUUUAUGGACCCGAACCUCGGUGAUCUAUCAUUCUGAAAAAGUACCAAUUGUGGGAUAAAAAAAUGUUUUGUUUCAACUUUCAUUCUUUUAGUGGCAGUGCUGGGCAAAUUGUUUAAGUUUUAUCUAUAAUUUUCUUAAUUCAUGUUUAUUGAAUGAUAUUUGGUACUUUUAAGUCCGAAUGUUCUUCAACAAAUUGUGAUGUAAAUAACUUACCUAUGCACGUGGUUUGCUGGAUUGGCUCCUCUGUCAUUUGUUAUUAUGUGAUUGAUUUUAUGUGACUUGUGAGCAUGAUCAUUCUUGCAGCCUGAAACAUCGAAAGCUGCUGUUGUGGCUAAAAGCUUGAAAAAUGUUGUGCUUUCUUGUCUUACCCAAGUAUCUUAAUUGUGUAUGUGUGUGCUGUUCAUAUGUUUUCUACGGAACACCGAUAGUUGUGUUACUUAGCUUGUUGAUUUGAUUUUUGAAGUAUUUUGGUCAAUGAAUGAUAUUAAAGCCUGUGUUCAUGAAACUGCUUGUUUUUCAGGUACCAACACAUGGGACAGAUUUGAACUUCGUGUGCACAAGAGAGUGAUUGACCUCUACAGUUCCCCAGAUGUAGUUAAGCAGAUUACCUCUAUCACGAUUGAACCUGGUGUGGAGGUUGAGGUUACCAUUGCAGAUGCUUGAUCUGGAUUCAAAUUUUAACUGUUAUGCUUCCCAGUUUUUUCCCUCUCUUUUUUUGUAUUU